AGCUGGCCACACCCUGAAAGGCUGCCCGAAUCUAUUCAGUGAAUUGAAGGAAGAUGGAAAGCCGCAUGAGCAAUACAUUUCGGAAGCUGUGACAUAUGAUGAAAAGGAACUGUUUAAGGGCAUCGUCUGUGGUGAACGCUUUAACAGUUUUGAUAAAUUCGUCCUUCAGGUUACAGGAAAAGAAGUACAUCAAUACAUAACACCAUUCGAAGAAGCCUGCCUGCACCAUCUACUACUUCAAAACAUUAAAAAUUCUGGCUACAUAAAACCAACACCUGUUCAGAAAGCUUCAGUUGCAGUAAUUUUGAAACCUGGAUGUCCUCGUACUGACGCGAUUCAAAGGGGUCGGUGUGAACUGGGUAAGUUGAAGUAAAAGUAAUUUUGAGUGGGCAUGCCAGUAAUUAGGACUACUAAAAGGUCCAAUUGCAUCUAAGGCGGCGUACUUGGUACGGGUUUUGAACAUUGUUAGAACAAGGUGUUGCUGCUGCGUCUCAUGCCAUGCAGCAAAAGCCAGAAGUUGUAAUUGUCGCACCCACUCGUGAAUUGGCCAUUCAAAUUCACCGCGAGGCAUGUAAAUUCUCCUACAGUUCGGUUUUAAAGUCUGUGAUUAUAUGUGGAGAAAUUGUCACGAGCCAUCAUCGGUCAAAUCUUCAAGCUGGGUGUAAUAUUGUUGUCGCGACCGCGGUGCGAUUCAAGGAUUUUCUCGA
Daphnia carinata is the source of this 707-nucleotide long non-coding RNA. RefSeq lists it as uncharacterized. The transcript has 4 exons. Lineage: Eukaryota; Metazoa; Arthropoda; Branchiopoda; Diplostraca; Daphniidae. The record is from RefSeq and is a predicted model, not a curated record.